UACGUAGGGGGCAAGCGUUGUCCGGAAUUAUUGGGCGUAAAGAGCGUGUAGGCGGCUUGAUAAGUCCGCUGUGAAAGUCCAGGGCUCAACCCUGGAAGGCCGGUGGAAACUGUCGGGCUAGAGUCCGGAAGAGGCGAGUGGAAUUCCCGGUGUAGCGGAGAAAUGCGCAGAUAUCGGGAGGAACACCAAUGGCGAAGGCAGCUCGCUGGGACGGUACUGACGCUGAGACGCGAAAGCGUGGGGAGCAAACAGG
This 253-nucleotide ribosomal RNA is filed under the name uncultured bacterium. RNAcentral describes it as "partial 16S ribosomal RNA". It matches the Rfam family "Bacterial small subunit ribosomal RNA", at positions 524 to 776 of the family's 1533-position model. The record is from RNAcentral.